UGAUGAACUGUAGCCUCCCCAUGUCC
RNAcentral lists this non-coding RNA (26 nucleotides) under Rattus norvegicus (Norway rat). Lineage: Eukaryota; Metazoa; Chordata; Mammalia; Rodentia; Muridae. The record is from RNAcentral.